GAUGAACGCUGGCGGCGUGCCUAAUACAUGCAAGUAGAACGCUGAAGGAGGAGCUUGCUCUUCUGGAUGAGUUGCGCACGGGUGAGUAAAGCGUAGGUAACCUGCCUGGUAGCGGGGGAUAACUCUUGGAAACGCUAGCUAAUACCGCAUGACAACAGUUAUUGCAUGAUAACUGUUUAAAAGGGGCAACUGCUCCACUACCAGAUGGACCUGCGUUGUAUUAGCUAGUUGGUGAGGUAACGGCUCACCAAGGCGACGAUACAUAGCCGACCUGAGAGGGGUAUCCGCCACACUGGGACUGAGACACGGCCCAGACUCCCACGGGAGGCAGCAAGAGGGGAACUUCGGCAAUGGAGGGAAGGCUGACCGAGCAACGCCGCGUGAGUGAAGAAGGUUUUCGGAUCGUAAAGCUCUGGUGUAAGGGAAGAACGAGAGUGGUAGGGGAAAGUGCACGCUGUGACGGUACCUUACCAGAAAGGGACGGCUAACUACGUG
This 495-nucleotide ribosomal RNA is filed under the name uncultured bacterium. RNAcentral's name for it is "partial 16S ribosomal RNA". It matches the Rfam family "Bacterial small subunit ribosomal RNA", at positions 28 to 507 of the family's 1533-position model. The record is from RNAcentral.